This 80-nucleotide transfer RNA is filed under the name Sphaerodactylus townsendi. Its description in RNAcentral is "tRNA-Ala". Lineage: Eukaryota; Metazoa; Chordata; Lepidosauria; Squamata; Sphaerodactylidae. The record is from RNAcentral.
UACGGUCCUCUUGACUCAGUGGUAAAGCAUCUGCUACGCAUGCAGAAGGCCCCUGGUUCAAUUCCUGGCCUCUGCUGUAA